Molecule: ribosomal RNA, 492 nt
Filed under: uncultured bacterium
Lineage: Bacteria
Description: partial 16S ribosomal RNA
Rfam family: Bacterial small subunit ribosomal RNA
Source: RNAcentral
AGUGAACGCUGGCGGUAGGCCUAACACAUGCAAGUCGAACGGCAGCACAGUAAGAGCUUGCUCUUACGGGUGGCGAGUGGCGGACGGGUGAGGAAUACAUCGGAAUCUACUUUUUCGUGGGGGAUAACGUAGGGAAACUUACGCUAAUACCGCAUACGACCUACGGGUGAAAGCAGGGGAUCUUCGGACCUUGCGCGAUUGAAUGAGCCGAUGUCGGAUUAGCUAGUUGGCGGGGUAAAGGCCCACCAAGGCGACGAUCCGUAGCUGGUCUGAGAGGAUGAUCAGCCACACUGGAACUGAGACACGGUCCAGACUCCUACGGGAGGCAGCAGUGGGGAAUAUUGGACAAUGGGCGCAAGCCUGAUCCAGCCAUACCGCGUGGGUGAAGAAGGCCUUCGGGUUGUAAAGCCCUUUUGUUGGGAAAGAAAAGCAGCAGGUUAAUACCCCGCUGUCCUGACGGUACCCAAAGAAUAAGCACCGGAUAACUUCGUG